UAGUGCCUAUUGUUCAAAGGAUGCAGUC
This 28-nucleotide non-coding RNA is filed under the name Homo sapiens (human). Lineage: Eukaryota; Metazoa; Chordata; Mammalia; Primates; Hominidae. The record is from RNAcentral.